UAUAUUUAUAGUUUUUUUUUCUUCUCAUUUUUUUGGGUGUGUGUGUGUGUGUGAAGUUUAAUCGAAAUGUGUGAAGGUCAGGCUGGAACUACAUUUAAACAAGAGAGAUGUCUGUUCACAUAUUUUUUAAUUUUGUUU
This 138-nucleotide non-coding RNA is filed under the name Heterosigma akashiwo. Lineage: Eukaryota; Raphidophyceae; Chattonellales; Chattonellaceae. The record is from RNAcentral.